RNAcentral lists this non-coding RNA (29 nucleotides) under Rattus norvegicus (Norway rat). Lineage: Eukaryota; Metazoa; Chordata; Mammalia; Rodentia; Muridae. The record is from RNAcentral.
UGUCAUAUAGGCAAUGUUUGUUUCAUGGA